RNAcentral lists this ribosomal RNA (467 nucleotides) under uncultured Acinetobacter sp. RNAcentral's name for it is "bacterial SSU rRNA". It matches the Rfam family "Bacterial small subunit ribosomal RNA", at positions 337 to 795 of the family's 1533-position model. The record is from RNAcentral. Lineage: Bacteria; Pseudomonadati; Pseudomonadota; Gammaproteobacteria; Moraxellales; Moraxellaceae.
GCCUACGGGUGGCUGCAGUGGGGAAUAUUGGACAAUGGGGGGAACCCUGAUCCAGCCAUGCCGCGUGUGUGAAGAAGGCCUUAUGGUUGUAAAGCACUUUAAGCGAGGAGGAGGCUACUGAGACUAAUACUCUUGGAUAGUGGACGUUACUCGCAGAAUAAGCACCGGCUAACUCUGUGCCAGCAGCCGCGGUAAUACAGAGGGUGCGAGCGUUAAUCGGAUUUACUGGGCGUAAAGCGUGCGUAGGCGGCUUUUUAAGUCGGAUGUGAAAUCCCCGAGCUUAACUUGGGAAUUGCAUUCGAUACUGGGAAGCUAGAGUAUGGGAGAGGAUGGUAGAAUUCCAGGUGUAGCGGUGAAAUGCGUAGAGAUCUGGAGGAAUACCGAUGGCGAAGGCAGCCAUCUGGCCUAAUACUGACGCUGAGGUACGAAAGCAUGGGGAGCAAACAGGAUUAGAUACCCUGGUAGUC